CAGAGUUAUCCAACUCCCAAACCCAUGUGAACUUAUCUCUUUGUUGCCUCGGCGCAAGCUACCCGGGACCUCAGCGCCCCGGGCGGCCCGCCGGCGGACAAACCAAAACUCUUGUUAUCCUUAGUUGAUUAUCUGAGCUGUCUUAUUUAAUAAGUCA
RNAcentral lists this unclassified non-coding RNA (157 nucleotides) under soil metagenome. RNAcentral describes it as "partial internal transcribed spacer 1". The record is from RNAcentral.